GCCAGCGUAGCUCAGUCGGCAGAGCAGCGGUUUCGUAAACCGCAGGUCUCCGGUUCAAAUCCGGACGCUGGCU
Molecule: transfer RNA, 73 nt
Filed under: bacterium
Lineage: Bacteria
Also listed under: 1 other name
Description: tRNA-Thr
Rfam family: tRNA
About the family: Transfer RNA (tRNA) molecules are approximately 80 nucleotides in length. Their secondary structure includes four short double-helical elements and three loops (D, anti-codon, and T loops).
Source: RNAcentral